UACAGAGGUCUCAAGCGUUGUUCGGAAUUACUGGGCGUAAAGGGUGCGCAGGCCGCACGGGCAGUCAAAUGUGUAAUUCAGGGGCUCAACCCCUGCACUGCGCUUGAUACUUCCGUGCUCGAACCUUGGAGAGGAGUCUGGAAUUCUCGGUGUAGCAGUGAAAUGCGUGGAUAUCGAGAAGAACACGUAGGGCGAAAGCAAGACUCUGGACAAGUGUUGACGCUCAUGCACGAAGGCUAGGGUAGCGAACGGG
This 253-nucleotide ribosomal RNA is filed under the name uncultured bacterium. RNAcentral describes it as "partial 16S ribosomal RNA". It matches the Rfam family "Bacterial small subunit ribosomal RNA", at positions 524 to 776 of the family's 1533-position model. The record is from RNAcentral.